RNAcentral lists this ribosomal RNA (440 nucleotides) under uncultured bacterium. RNAcentral's name for it is "partial 16S ribosomal RNA". It matches the Rfam family "Bacterial small subunit ribosomal RNA", at positions 338 to 795 of the family's 1533-position model. The record is from RNAcentral.
UCUACGGGUGGCAGCAGUGGGGAAUAUUGCACAAUGGGGGAAACCCUGAUGCAGCGACGCCGCGUGAGUGAAGAAGUAUUUCGGUAUGUAAAGCUCUGUCAGCAGGGAAGAAAAUGACGGUACCUGACCACGAAGCCCCGGCUAACUACGUGCCAGCAGCCGCGGUAAUACGUAGGGGGCAAGCGGUAUCCGGAUUUACUGGGUGUAAAGGGAGCGUAGACGGCAGGGCAAGUCUGGAGUGAAAGGCGGGGGCUCAACCCCCGGACUGCUCUGGAAACUGCCAGGCUGGAGUGCAGGAGAGGUAAGUGGAAUUCCUAGUGUAGCGGUGAAAUGCGUAGAUAUUAGGAGGAACACCAGUGGCGAAGGCGGCUUACUGGACUGUAACUGACGUUGAGGCUCGAAAGCGUGGGGAGCAAACAGGAUUAGAUACCCGAGUAGUC